GAUGAACGCUGGCGGCGUGCCUAAUACAUGCAAGUCGAGCGAACAGACGAGGAGCUUGCUCCUCUGACGUUAGCGGCGGACGGGUGAGUAACACGUGGAUAACCUACCUAUAAGACUGGGAUAACUUCGGGAAACCGGAGCUAAUACCGGAUAAUAUAUUGAACCGCAUGGUUCAAUAGUGAAAGACGGUUUUGCUGUCACUUAUAGAUGGAUCCGCGCCGCAUUAGCUAGUUGGUAAGGUAACGGCUUACCAAGGCAACGAUGCGUAGCCGGCCUGAGAGGGUGAUCGGCCACACUGGAACUGAGACACGGUCCAGACUCCUACGGGAGGCAGCAGUAGGGAAUCUUCCGCUAUGGGCGAAAGCCUGACGGAGCAACGCCGCGUGAGUGAUGAAGGUCUUCGGAUCGUAAAACUCUGUUAUUAGGGAAGAACAAAUGUGUAAGUAACUAUGCACGUCUUGACGGUACCUAAUCAGAAAGCCACGGCUAACUACGUG
This 497-nucleotide ribosomal RNA is filed under the name uncultured bacterium. Its description in RNAcentral is "partial 16S ribosomal RNA". It matches the Rfam family "Bacterial small subunit ribosomal RNA", at positions 28 to 507 of the family's 1533-position model. The record is from RNAcentral.